AUUGAACGCUGGCGGAAUGCUUUACACAUGCAAGUCGAACGGCAGCACGGGGGCAACCCUGGUGGCGAGUGGCGAACGGGUGAGUAAUACAUCGGAACGUGCCCAAUCGCGGGGAUAACGUAGCGAAAGCUACGCUAAUACCGCAUACGAUCUACGGAUGAAAGCGGGGGAUCGCAAGACCUCGCGCGAAUGGAGCGGCCGAUGGCAGAUUAGGUAGUUGGUGGGGUAAAGGCUCACCAAGCCGACGAUCUGUAGCUGGUCUGAGAGGACGACCAGCCACACUGGGACUGAGACACGGCCCAGACUCCUACGGGAGGCAGCAGUGGGGAAUUUUGGACAAUGGGCGCAAGCCUGAUCCAGCCAUUCCGCGUGCAGGAUGAAGGCCU
RNAcentral lists this ribosomal RNA (386 nucleotides) under uncultured bacterium. RNAcentral's name for it is "bacterial SSU rRNA". It matches the Rfam family "Bacterial small subunit ribosomal RNA", at positions 29 to 417 of the family's 1533-position model. The record is from RNAcentral.